ACGGGAGGCAGCAGUGGGGAAUAUUGCGCAAUGGGGGAAACCCUGACGCAGCGACGCCGCGUGAGUGAAGAAGUAUUUCGGUAUGUAAAGCUCUAUCAGCAGGGAAGAUGAUGACGGUACCUGACUAAGAAGCCCCGGCUAACUACGUGCCAGCAGCCGCGGUAAUACGUAGGGGGCAAGCGUUAUCCGGAUUUACUGGGUGUAAAGGGAGCGUAGACGGCUGUGCAAGUCUGAAGUGAAAUCCGCGGGCUCAACCCGCGAACUGCUUUGGAAACUGUAUAGCUGGAGUGCAGGAGAGGUAAGUGGAAUUCCUAGUGUAGCGGUGAAAUGCGUAGAUAUUAGGAGGAACACCAGUGGCGAAGGCGGCUUACUGGACUGUAACUGACGUUGAGGCUCGAAAGCGUGGGGAGCAAACAGGAUUAGAUACCCUGGUA
This 434-nucleotide ribosomal RNA is filed under the name uncultured Lachnospiraceae bacterium. RNAcentral's name for it is "partial 16S ribosomal RNA". It matches the Rfam family "Bacterial small subunit ribosomal RNA", at positions 341 to 792 of the family's 1533-position model. The record is from RNAcentral. Lineage: Bacteria; Bacillati; Bacillota; Clostridia; Lachnospirales; Lachnospiraceae.